RNAcentral lists this ribosomal RNA (516 nucleotides) under uncultured eukaryote. RNAcentral's name for it is "bacterial SSU rRNA". It matches the Rfam family "Eukaryotic small subunit ribosomal RNA", at positions 348 to 853 of the family's 1831-position model. The record is from RNAcentral.
GUUGAUGACGCAUACGGAGAAUAAGGGUUCGAUUCCGGAGAGGGAGCAAGAGAGAUUGCUACUACUUCUAUGGAAGGCAGCAGGCGCGAAAAUUGCCCAAUCGGAAAUACCGGAGGCAGUGAAAAGGAAUAAGAAUGACAAAGGAAGCAAUUCCGAGUCAAUUCAAAUGAGUUAGAUGAAAAAUAGCAAACAAGAAGCAAGUGGAGGGCAAGUCUGGUGCCAGCAGCCGCGGUAAUACCAGCUCCACUAGCAUAUGUUAAAGUUGCUGCAGUUAAAACGCUCGUAGUUGGGAUAAAAAGAAGGAGAAAGCAAAAGAGAAAAUGAGAAAUUGUUUUUCAUUGUUUUUCUUCGUUUUAAUUUAUUUGGUGAAUUGAGGUAAUUGAGUUUGCCUUGUCACCGUAUCACCUUGAACAAAGCAUGUCGCUCAAAAAUGGGGUCUUCAGACAAGGAGUGUUGAGCAUGGAAUGAGAGAAUAUGAGAAGGAAAAAAAGAAGAGAGUGAUCUUGGAGGUUUUUC